GAGCGGCGGACGGGUGAGUAAUGCAUAGGAAUCUGCCCGGUAGUGGGGGAUAACCUGGGGAAACCCAGGCUAAUACCGCAUACGUCCUACGGGAGAAAGGGGGCUCCGGCUCCCGCUAUUGGAUGAGCCUAUGUCGGAUUAGCUAGUUGGUGAGGUAAUGGCUCACCAAGGCAACGAUCCGUAGCUGGUCUGAGAGGAUGAUCAGCCACAUCGGGACUGAGACACGGCCCGAACUCCUACGGGAGGCAGCAGUGGGGAAUAUUGGACAAUGGGGGCAACCCUGAUCCAGCCAUGCCGCGUGUGUGAAGAAGGCCCUCGGGUUGUAAAGCACUUUCAGCGAGGAAGAACGCCUAGGGGUUAAUACCCCCUAGGAAAGACAUCACUCGCAGAAGAAGCACCGGCUAACUCCGUGCCAGCAGCCGCGGUAAUACGGAGGGUGCAAGCGUUAAUCGGAAUUACUGGGCGUAAAGCGCGCGUAGGUGGCUUGAUAAGCCGGUUGUGAAAGCCCCGGGCUCAACCUGGGAACGGCAUCCGGAACUGUCAAGCUAGAGUGCAGGAGAGGAAGGUAGAAUUCCCGGUGUAGCGGUGAAAUGCGUAGAGAUCGGAGGAAAUCCCAGUGGGGAGGGCGCCUUUUUGGAUUGCCACUGACACUGAGGUGCAAAAAGCGUGGGUACCAAACAGGAUUAGAUCCCCUGGUAGUCCACCCCGUAAAGGAUGUCGCCCAGCCGUUGGGUGCCUAGCGCAUUUUGUGGGGAAGUUAACGCGAUAAGUCGACCCCCUGGGGAGUACGCCCCCCAAGGUUAAAACUCAAAUGAAUUGACGGGGGCCCGCACAAGCGGUGGAGCAUGUGGUUUAUUUGGAUGCAACGGGAAGACCCUUACCUACUCUUGACAUCCUGCGAACUUGUGAGAGAUCACUUGGUGCCUUCGGGAACGCAGAGACAGGUGCUGCAUGGCUGUCGUCAGCUCGUGUUGUGAAAUGUUGGGUUAAGUCCCGUAACGAGCGCAACCCUUGUCCUUAUUUGCCAGCACGUAAUGGUGGGAACUCUAAGGAGACUGCCGGUGACAAACCGGAGGAAGGUGGGGACGACGUCAAGUCAUCAUGGCCCUUACGAGUAGGGCUACACACGUGCUACAAUGGCCGGUACAAAGGGUUGCCAACUCGCGAGAGUGAGCUAAUCCCGAAAAGCCGGUCUCAGUCCGGAUCGGAGUCUGCAACUCGACUCCGUGAAGUCGGAAUCGCUAGUAAUCGUGAAUCAGAAUGUCACGGUGAAUACGUUCCCGGGCCUUGUACACACCGCCCGUCACACCCUGGGAGUGGAGUGCACCAGAAGUCGUUGCGGCUGGAUCACCUCCUUAGAGUUUGAUCCUGGCUCAGUGCGGCUGGACACCUCCUAGAGUUCCC
Molecule: ribosomal RNA, 1404 nt
Filed under: Halomonas sp. NBSL19
Lineage: Bacteria; Pseudomonadati; Pseudomonadota; Gammaproteobacteria; Oceanospirillales; Halomonadaceae
Also listed under: 1 other name
Description: bacterial SSU rRNA
Rfam family: Bacterial small subunit ribosomal RNA
Source: RNAcentral